CUGCGUAAUGGGCACCUAUGAAUCGUGUCAGGGCAGGAAUGCAGCAGCACUAAGUAGGCCCGCUCAUCUGACGCGGGGUUGCCU
Molecule: signal recognition particle RNA, 84 nt
Filed under: uncultured Pseudobutyrivibrio sp.
Lineage: Bacteria; Bacillati; Bacillota; Clostridia; Lachnospirales; Lachnospiraceae
Description: Bacterial small signal recognition particle RNA
Rfam family: Bacterial small signal recognition particle RNA
About the family: The signal recognition particle (SRP) is a universally conserved ribonucleoprotein involved in the co-translational targeting of proteins to membranes. Archaeal SRP consists of a 7S RNA and homologues of the eukaryotic SRP19 and SRP54 proteins.
Source: RNAcentral